ACACUAAAGGACCUAAACUAAC
Molecule: microRNA, 22 nt
Filed under: Arabidopsis lyrata
Lineage: Eukaryota; Viridiplantae; Streptophyta; Magnoliopsida; Brassicales; Brassicaceae
Description: aly-miR840-5p
Gene: aly-miR840-5p
Source: miRBase by way of RNAcentral